AUUGGAGAGGCAGAACAGGCUUGCUUGGUCCCGAAACGUGAAUUACGUUUAACACAAAAUGGCCAGCCGAACGAGAGCGUGCGACGUACAACAGUAUUGUGUCCGCAUGUACUCU
Long non-coding RNA from Ooceraea biroi (clonal raider ant), 115 nucleotides. RefSeq lists it as uncharacterized. The record is from RefSeq and is a predicted model, not a curated record. NCBI's taxonomy places the organism in Eukaryota, Metazoa, Arthropoda, Insecta, Hymenoptera, Formicidae.